CCUGGAGACUCCUACGGGAGGCAGCAGUAGGGAAUCUUCGGCAAUGGGGGGAACCCUGACCGAGCAACGCCGCGUGAGUGAAGAAGGUUUUCGGAUCGUAAAGCUCUGUUGUAAGAGAAGAACGGGUGUGAGAGUGGAAAGUUCACACUGUGACGGUAUCUUACCAGAAAGGGACGGCUAACUACGUGCCAGCAGCCGCGGUAAUACGUAGGUCCCGAGCGUUGUCCGGAUUUAUUGGGCGUAAAGCGAGCGCAGGCGGUUAGAUAAGUCUGAAGUUAAAGGCUGUGGCUUAACCAUAGUAUGCUUUGGAAACUGUUUAACUUGAGUGCAGAAGGGGAGAGUGGAAUUCCAUGUGUAGCGGUGAAAUGCGUAGAUAUAUGGAGGAACACCGGUGGCGAAAGCGGCUCUCUGGUCUGUAACUGACGCUGAGGCUCGAAAGCGUGGGGAGCAAACAGGAUUAGAUACCCUUGUAGUCCAGAAGUG
Molecule: ribosomal RNA, 483 nt
Filed under: uncultured bacterium
Lineage: Bacteria
Description: bacterial SSU rRNA
Rfam family: Bacterial small subunit ribosomal RNA
Source: RNAcentral